GGUGGCGCCAUAGCGCCGCAUACAGUCAGAUUAGCCGGGUGGAGGGAUAUAAGGCGAAGAGCGGAGCCGCUUCAGUCUUUCCCGCUGACGGAGCAGAGCCGAACGGAGGACCUCAAACAUGGGUUUUCCUGCAGCAUCUCAGACCAGGUUGGCUGGUUUCCUGGACCGUCAUCUGCCUCGGUGGCUGUGAUUCCACUGGAACGCUAAAGAGCUCGGACCUUCCCUGGAUGAUGGGACGUUGUCUUCUCCAGAGCUGGAUUUCAGUUCAGAGCUCCUGAGAUGCUGGUGUGACUCAGGAGCCAGAGAUGGAUCUGCUCCCAGUCUGAGGGGCAAAUGAAGAUGGACGUUCUCCCACGAUGAACAUGGCUUCUGGUUCAGUUUGAAGGAGUCUUUGACGAUGGAUGGACCUGAUUUUUGGACCCAGAAACAAAGGUGGACUUUCAGAGUCCAGGAGUCACUCCUGUCUGGGUGGAACGUGACAGAUAUCCAGGUGACCUUCAGCUGAAGGACCGGCGGCUCACAGGUGGACUAAGCCCCACCCCUGCUGCUCUGGGAGUGAAGUUCACGUACCAAAUAUGUUGUGCAGAUUUUGUUCUUUGAGGAACUUGGAAUCCAGGUUGUCAAUUGUUGUUUUUAAUAAAGAUUCUUUCAACAA
This is a non-coding RNA of Oryzias latipes (Japanese medaka), 655 nucleotides long. The record is from RefSeq and is a predicted model, not a curated record. NCBI's taxonomy places the organism in Eukaryota, Metazoa, Chordata, Actinopteri, Beloniformes, Adrianichthyidae.